RNAcentral lists this ribosomal RNA (132 nucleotides) under Triticum aestivum (bread wheat). RNAcentral's name for it is "partial small subunit ribosomal RNA". Lineage: Eukaryota; Viridiplantae; Streptophyta; Magnoliopsida; Poales; Poaceae. The record is from RNAcentral.
AUGAAGCACAACAACGACGGGCUGUACGUGUGGGAGUCCCAGGCCGGUAGCUCCUUCACCUUCACUCGUGAUACGUUUGGGGAGCAGCUCAGCAGGGGUACCAAGAUGGUCCUCUACCUCAAGGACGACUAG